This is a long non-coding RNA of Penaeus monodon (black tiger shrimp), 589 nucleotides long. RefSeq lists it as uncharacterized. The transcript is spliced from 3 exons. Lineage: Eukaryota; Metazoa; Arthropoda; Malacostraca; Decapoda; Penaeidae. The record is from RefSeq and is a predicted model, not a curated record.
AAAAAUACAUAAGAAGAUAUGAAAAGUAACCCGAACUCGCAUCCGGCGACCGUAAGAGAACGCCGACUCGCUUACACGAACGCCAACAAACCCUGGACGGAGGCAGUGCUCACCCAGUUGCCGUCGGGAAACAUUGCACUUGUCCGAAUGGCGAGCCCUGAGCCCCACCCGAGAGGCCAGACCCCGCGGCGGAAAGGUCUUCUAGUUGUGUGAAUUAACAUGACUUCCUUGUCCAAAGCUGAAUGUCUGGCUGAUAACUGGGCCUCGGCACAUCCUGGACCUGACAGAGGUUGGGUCAUGCCAGGUCCAACAGCCUUGUCCUUGCCUUCCUACCAGCAGGCGCUUCUCAAGACUCACUACUGAGACCUGACUAGUUCAUACUGGACAUCUCACAGCUGUCUGAUUGGACCACAGGCUCCCCUCUUUCCCAGUUCGCUGAAACAGCUUCCAACUACUUAACCGAUUUCUGACGGGUGGCAUGUACGCACAUACCAUGGCAUGGCGGGACUAUCUGCCGGGGGCAUGUAUGUACAUGCCAUGGUGUAUGUAUGGACAUGCCAUGAGUUAUUUUUUGUUACAAUCACGGCAA